AGUUUUGAGCUAAAUAUAUUUAUAAUAUUAGUUAUUUGUGAAGGUGUUGUAAAACCUUUAUUUAAAAUUAUAUUUAGGGGUGAUAGGCCUUUCAAAAACUAAGAUAUCUUGAAUCUAAUUAAAAGUAUGUAGUACAAUUAACACAACUAUUAAGUGAUUAGGCUUUAUAGAAUUAUUAACCUAUAAGAUUUUAUUUACUAUAAUUUAAUAAUUAAGUACAUAAAUAUAUUAAUAUACAUAUAUUAUAGUUUAUAAAAGAGUAAUUAGAUAAAUUAAAGUUCAUAUUUUUUAUAAUAAUGUUAAUAUUAGUAUUAAGUUUAUAUUUAUAUGAUGAACUCGGCAAAAAUACUUCUCAACUGUUUAUCAAAAACAUAACUAUGUGAAUGAAUACAUAGCGGUUUCUGCUCAA
RNAcentral lists this ribosomal RNA (409 nucleotides) under Mandarina polita. Its description in RNAcentral is "partial 16S ribosomal RNA". The record is from RNAcentral. Lineage: Eukaryota; Metazoa; Mollusca; Gastropoda; Stylommatophora; Camaenidae.